Non-coding RNA from Coffea arabica (coffee), 2107 nucleotides. NCBI's taxonomy places the organism in Eukaryota, Viridiplantae, Streptophyta, Magnoliopsida, Gentianales, Rubiaceae. The record is from RefSeq and is a predicted model, not a curated record.
GGCAUUAAAUAUGUCUAUGUGACAACAAAAUAGUGUGUCCACUAUGCAUUAUACUAAGGUGUUCAACUCACUAAAUUUACUAAAACAGAACUAAUAUAUAUAUAAAACAGAACUAAUUAAGGUGUUCCACCUUGACUCGUUUUUAUAGUUUACACACUUUUGUAUUGCCGCUUCUUACUGCCGUAUUUAUGUUAAUGCACUUUCCAAUGAUACGUAAACAAGGUAUUUCUGGCCCUUUAUAGAGAAGAUAUAUCAUAUAUUUUUGUAAUAAAUAAAUCAUUUAUCAUUUGGAGGAGGAAUAUAUAGUAUUUCAUUGCUAUAAGUAUGGAUUAUUGAAAAUAAUAAGACAUGUAUUUGGAUAUCUCCCUUCAACUAUUCCUGUCAAAUAAAUAAGACUGUGGGUCGAAGGGAAUUCUCUGAAGAGAAAGUGGAUUAUGGGUGUGUGACUUGAACUGUUGAUUAGUCUGUGUAGUUAUAGGCCUGCCACAUUGGAAUUGGAAUUCACAAUCAAAUGUGUCUUUGUUCCAACCACCGCGUAAGCCUUAUACAGAGGGGAGGAUAGGCUGGUUCGCUUGAAGAGAAUUAUUUCUAUGAUCAGAUCCGAAUCAUGUUGUACAUGAGCAGGCUCCGUAAGAUCCAGUAUAAUAAGUGAAAUAGAUAAACUAAAUAUGUUCCUGAAUUCCAAAUCGAUAGCAAAAACUAAAUAUGUAUAUGUAUAUAUAUAUAUAUAUAUUUGUAGUUGCACACUUGCAUUUGAGAUAGAUACCUCUGUUUAACUGCGUCACCCAUUGCAUGUGGGCGCCUCAAUGCCAAUUGAAGCCUCCCUCUUGCGAUCGUGGGUUUAAUAUCUUACAUACAUGAUUGUUACUUUAAGUCAUGAACAAUGAAAUACAGAAAGAAACUUAGAAAGGUUUACUUGGAAAUCAAAUUGUUGGUGCUGUUGGAUGUCCAGAUUCCUUACGACCAAAGGGAAUAUCCUUGCGGAUACAGCAGUGAAUCUGCAAUAUCAGUAGCGGCACAUAUGGUGGCGGUUUCACGGGGCAAUGAAACAGAUGGAAUCAGAUUGUUUUGGACUAACUGCAGUCUAGCUGUCAAUCGUGAGCUUUGAUCGAAGAGACCGUGAAGCAACAAAAGCAGCUACCAAGUUCAUUCCUGUUGCUGGCCAUAUCAAAAAUUUCUCAACAAAAAAAAAAGCUCAAAGGGAAGAAAUUAGAUGUGGUAAGAAAUCCCUUGUCAUCCUUUCGAGUAGGUCCAAUGCGGUUCCAAUUCUUGAGUGUCAUUUGCGCACAUUACGGUAGAAAAGUGAGGACUCAACUCAGAUGUAUUGCUAGUUCUAGGCCAAUGCUUUUACUUAGCUAACAUGUUUCUUCUUCUUCCUGAAAAAUUUGAUCCCAGCAAGGUGCAACUCUCAUUCAUCAUUUGGGAGGCAUCCAAUAUUGAUGUCUUUCAAAGUGGAGACAGAGUAGCAAUGCCGGCGGAAACCAAUUCUUACUUCUAAUUUGCAAGGCCAAACUGAAUAUCGUAUGCAGUCGUUAGCUGGCAUUAUAGCAUUCAACAAGAACAAUCCUGAUUUGGAGAGUUUUGGCUACUUUGAUGGUCAAAAUAUUUUUAUUGCAGCAGACUUCACAAAUGGGAUUGGUGAGGAAGAGCGGAAGGCAAUAGAGUAGAUGGAAAAAUUGUCAAGACUCAAGAGACGGCUACUUGAGCUAGAUUUUGGAGAAGGGUUUAGAUGCAGUGGUCCCUGCCGCCUAUGUUAGAGAUGUCAUGCCGUUUGGGAUUCCAUUUGCAGGCUUGAGAGGGAUGAAGCCGAAGCUGAUAGGGAUGGCUUUUAAUUUUGAAGAAGCUACCAUGAUCCGUAGGCCUCCCAUCUUCAGAUCCGUUGAAUUUAGUUGAAAAUGCUUUCUAUUAAUUGUUCUUGAUCUUUAGCACUUAUUAGUGUUGCUUUUCCAUCAGAGAGCAAGUGCAGCAUAUGGUUUGUGAAAGACAUCCACUGGCAUCCACGAUGUUUUUUGUACUAAUGUUGUCGGUGAAUAAAGCCCUCGGUGGCCUUUGUUUUCACCAAAGAAAUGAUUGGCCUUUGCUUUUUCUUCUUUUAUUUACAGGUAAA